Molecule: transfer-messenger RNA, 359 nt
Filed under: Campylobacter coli
Lineage: Bacteria; Pseudomonadati; Campylobacterota; Epsilonproteobacteria; Campylobacterales; Campylobacteraceae
Also listed under: 2 other names
Rfam family: transfer-messenger RNA
About the family: Bacterial tmRNA, also known as 10Sa RNA or SsrA, is named for its dual tRNA and mRNA-like properties.
Source: RNAcentral
GGGAGCGACUUGGCUUCGACAGGAGUAAGUCUGCUUAGAUGGCAUGUCGCUUUGGGCAAAGCGUAAAAAGCCCAAAUAAAAUUAAACGCAAACAACGUUAAAUUCGCUCCUGCUUACGCUAAAGCUGCGUAAGUUCAGUUGAGCCUGAAAUUUAAGUCAUACUAUCUAGCUUAAUUUUCGGUCAUUUUUGAUAGUGUAGCCUUGCGUUUGACAAGCGUUGAGGUGAAAUAAAGUCUUAGCCUUGCUUUUGAGUUUUGGAAGAUGAGCGAAGUAGGGUGAAGUAGUCAUCUUUGCUAAACAUGUAGAGGUCUUUGUGGGAUUAUUUUUGGACAGGGGUUCGAUUCCCCUCGCUUCCACCA